UUGGUUCCUCAACUGAUCCAAGGUGUCCAUGACUUUUUUUUAUUUUUUUUAUUUUUUUUUGGCGCUUGUGCUUGAGCUGACCUUGCGGACCCUAAUACCCCUGAGCCGUCCUUCCGAACCCAUGUGCCUUUGGUUUCUCAACUGAUCCAAGGUAUCCAUGACUUUUUUUAUUUUUUUUUGGCGCUUGCGCUUGAGCUGACCUUGCGGACCCUAAUACCCCUAAGCCGUCCUUCCGAACCCAUGUGCCUUUGGUUUCUCAACUGAUCCAAGGUGUCCAUGACUUUUUUUUAUUUUUUAUUUUUGGCGCUUGCGCCUGAGCUGACCUUGCAGACCCCAAUAUCACUGAGCUGUCCUUCCGGACCCAUGCCUCUUCGGUUUCUCAACUGAUCCAAAGUGUCCAUGACUUUUUUUUUUUGGCGCUUGUGCUUGAGCUGACCUUGCGGUUCCCAAUACCCCUGACCUGUCCUUCCGGACCCAUGCACCUUCGGUUUCUCAACUGAUCCAAGUUGUCCAUGACUUUUGUUUUUAUUUUUUUGCGAUUGCGCUGGAGCUAACCUUGUGGGCCCCAAUACCCCUGAGCCAUCCUUCCGAACCCAUGCGCCUUCGGUUUCUUAACUAAUCCAAGGUGUCCAUGACUUCUUUUUAAAUUUUUUUUUUUUUUUUGGCGCUUGUGCUUGAGCUGACCUUGCGUGCCCCAAUACCUUUGAGCCAUCCUUCCGGACCCAUGUGCCUUCGGUUCCUCAACUGAUCCAAGGUGUCCAUGACUUAUUUUAUUAUUAUUAUUUUUUUGGCGCUUGUGCUUGAGCUGACCUUGCGGACUCUAAUACCCCUGAGCCAUCCUUCCGAACCCAUGCGCCUAUGGUCUCUCCACUGAUACAAGGUGUCCAUGACUUUUUUUUAUUUUUUUUUUUGGCGCUUGCGCCUGAGCUGACCUUGCGAACCCUAAUACCCCUGAGCUGUCCUUCCGGACCCAUGCCUCUUCGAUUUCUCAACUGAUCCAUGGUGUUCGUGACUUUUUUUUUUUUUUUUUUUUUGCGCUUGCUCUCAAGCUGACCUUGCAGUUCCCAAUACCCCUGAGCACUCCUUUCGGACCCGUGCGCCUUCAGUUUCUCAACUGAUCCAAGGUGGCCAUGACUUUUUGUUUUUGUUUUUUUUGCGCUUGCGCUGGAGCUAACCUUGCGGGCCCCAAUACCCCUCAGCCAUCCUUUUGAACCCAUGCGCCUUCGGUUUCUCAACUAAUCCAAGGUGUCCAUGACUUUUUUUAUAAAAAAAAAAAAAAAAAUUAUUUUGGCGCUUGUUCUUGAGCUGACCUUGCGAGCCCCAAUACCCCUGAGCCAUCCUUCCGGACCCAUGCGUCUUCGGUUUCUCAAUUGAUCCAAGGUGUCCAUGACUUUUUUUAUUUUUUUAUUAAUAUUUUUUUUGGCGUUUGCUCUUGAGCUGACCUUGCGGACCCCAAUACACCUGAGCCGUCCUUCCGGACCCAUGCGCCUUCGAUUUCUCAACUGAUCCAAGGUGUCCAUGAAAUUUAUAUUUUGGCGCUUGCACUUGAGCUGACCUUGCGGGCCCCAAUACCCUUGAGCCAUCCUUCCAUACCCAUGCACCUUCGGUUUCUCAACUGAUCCAAAGUGUCCAUGACUUUUUUUAUUUUAUUUUUGGCGCUUGCGCUUGAGCUAACCUUGCGGAUUCCAAUACCCCUGAUCUGUUCUUCCGGACCCAUGCGCCUUCUAUUUUUGAACUGAUCCAAAGUGUCCAUGAAUUUUUUAUUUUUUAUUUGUUAAAUUUUUGGCGCUUGCGCUUGAGCUGACCUUGCGGACCCCAAUACACCUGAGCCGUCCUUCCGGACCCGUGCACCUUCGGUUUCUCAACUGAUCCAAGGUGUCCAUGACUUUUUUUUUUCUUUCUUUUUUUUGGUGCUUGCACUUGAGCUGACCUUGCGGGCUCCAAUACCCCUGAGCAACGAAUCCAAGGUGUCCAUGACUUUUUAUAUUUUUAUAUAUAUUUUUUUUUUGGCUCUUGCGCUUGAGCUGACCUUGUGGGCCCCAAUACCCCUGAGCCGUCGUUCCGGACUCAUGCGCCUUCGGUUUUUCAAUUGAUCCAAGGUGUCCAUGACUUUUUUUUUAUUUUUUAUUUUAUUUUUUUGCCUUUGCGCUUGAGCUGACCUUGUGGACCCCAAUCCCUUGAGCCGUCCUUCUGGACCCAUGUGCCUUCGGUUUCUCAAUUGAUCCAAGUUGUCCAUGACUUUUUUAUUUUAUUAUUAUUAUUUUUGGCCCUUGCGCAUGAGCUGACCUUGCAGACCCCAAUACCCCUGAGCCGUCUUUCAGGACCCAUGCGCCUUCUGUUUCUUAACUUAUCCAUGGUGUCCAUGACUUUUUUUAUUUUUGUUAUUAACUUUUUUUUCGCGCUUGCGCUUGAGCUGACCUUGCAGACCCCAAUACUCCUAAGCUGUCCUUCCAGAUCCGUGCGCCUUCAGUUUCUCCUUUUCAUUUCCACCGACUCUCAAGCGGUCCAUAACCUAGUCUUUGCGUGAGAAAAUGAACAAGUCUAGCCCCGUAGGUGUACUCAUUACCUUGCAUCUCUUAUUGCUUACACCUAUUGCCCUUCUUUGUCUUUUGUCGAAGUGCAUGCAGCUUUCUAUCAGGGAAACGCAUAAGUUGAGUAAAGAUAGCCUUGAUUGGUCAUAUCAGACCAGGCUUUGUUGCCAGAGCCUUAGGCGAUUAUCUGAGUCGAUCGUAUCGAGUCCUAUCUUUGCUUUUGAAAAAAAAAAAACCUUAUCCCCGUGACUUUUGUGAAUUAUUUUUCCCUACAACUUACACCCUCUGCUAUAAAAGGUCGGUCGAUAGAGAUACAUUUCAUUCGUAAAACCGUUCAUACUUUGCUUUUAUUUUUCAUAUAAGCUCUAGGCGUGAAGGGAGAGGAAAGUGUUUUGUGCAUUUGAGAACUUUGCCGAAGGCCCUUUUUCUUACUACGACCCAGUAAGUACUAUUUUCAUCUUUGCUAUUUUCAUGUCGAGGCACGAGAUUUGGCCCAAGUCUAGUGGUGUCCCACCGAGCUACGAGAUACUUAAGGCUCUCACUAAAGGAUGUGUUCCCGACAACUUGGGGAUCAAUUCUCUUCCUUUGGGGUCGAAUAUGUACACUGGUGCGGGUAUCCCUCAGGGCUCCUUAAUUCUUUCGCCAGCCCAUUUAGAGCAUGUUAGGUUCCCACUCCACCCCCUUUUUCAUAUGCUCAUGUUCUUCUUGGACCUUCACCCCAUGCAACUAAACCUAAAUUUUUACCUUCUCAUAUCCGGUUUUCAAGCCGUCGGGUUGAAGUGGGGUGUGUCCCUUGGCUUUAAGGAUUUUAUUUACCUCCAUGACUUAGCUUGUAUUAGAGGGGAAAGUCACUAUUUCUUUUUUACCCCUAGGUCUGGUAAAAAAAAAUUCUCUUGUAAACUUUGGUAAAAAAAAAAUUCUCUUGUAAACAGUUAAUGCCUUGGCUGGCUAAUCUGG
This 3488-nucleotide long non-coding RNA is filed under the name Prunus persica (peach). Its description in RNAcentral is "long non-coding RNA (PPER_LNC003630)". Lineage: Eukaryota; Viridiplantae; Streptophyta; Magnoliopsida; Rosales; Rosaceae. The record is from RNAcentral.